UACGUAGGGUGCAAGCGUUAAUCGGAAUUACUGGGCGUAAAGCGUGCGCAGGCGGUUAUGUAAGACAGAUGUGAAAUCCCCGGGCUCAACCUGGGAACUGCAUUUGUGACUGCAUAGCUAGAGUACGGUAGAGGGGGAUGGAAUUCCGCGUGUAGCAGUGAAAUGCGUAGAUAUGCGGAGGAACACCGAUGGCGAAGGCAAUCCCCCUGGACCUGUACUGACGCUCAUGCACGAAAGGCGUGGGGAGCAAACAGG
Molecule: ribosomal RNA, 255 nt
Filed under: uncultured bacterium
Lineage: Bacteria
Description: partial 16S ribosomal RNA
Rfam family: Bacterial small subunit ribosomal RNA
Source: RNAcentral